RNAcentral lists this transfer RNA (65 nucleotides) under Biomphalaria tenagophila. RNAcentral's name for it is "tRNA-Ser". The record is from RNAcentral. Lineage: Eukaryota; Metazoa; Mollusca; Gastropoda; Planorbidae.
UUUUUUGGUGAAUAUAAAAUUCUAACUAGAUUUUCAAAAUCCAGGUGUCAAACCAAAAACGAAAA